AGCAAUCUGGGAGUUAUGAUCCCCCUCAAAUUCUUUACCUUUCUUUAAAUAUUCUUUAUGUCUUUUCUCAUUCACCCUGGAGUUAUCAGGAGCAUGGGGAGCACGAUCUUCACGUGCACUCACUCUAUCAGGCCUUGCUCUUCUCUCAUCCUCACGGGUCCUCAGCCUUGAAGGACUUUCAUUUUCAGCACGAUCCCUCCUUCUAAUAUGGUCGGCAUGCCUCA
Molecule: long non-coding RNA, 224 nt
Filed under: Nicotiana benthamiana
Lineage: Eukaryota; Viridiplantae; Streptophyta; Magnoliopsida; Solanales; Solanaceae
Description: long non-coding RNA (NBEN_LNC000727)
Source: RNAcentral